RNAcentral lists this small nucleolar RNA (101 nucleotides) under Exophiala mesophila. Its description in RNAcentral is "Small nucleolar RNA Z13/snr52". It matches the Rfam family "Small nucleolar RNA Z13/snr52". Rfam says of the family: Z13 or snr52 is a member of the C/D class of snoRNA which contain the C (UGAUGA) and D (CUGA) box motifs. Most of the members of the box C/D family function in directing site-specific 2'-O-methylation of substrate RNAs. Lineage: Eukaryota; Fungi; Ascomycota; Eurotiomycetes; Chaetothyriales; Herpotrichiellaceae. The record is from Rfam by way of RNAcentral.
CCAGUGAAGAUGAUGAAACAUUUCGGAUGUAAACUCACAGACCUGUUCUUAAUGCGCAAACCCAUGUGGAUAUUUCCGUUGCCUUCCUUCUGAUUUCACAA